AUACUUACGUGGCAGGGCAGAUACCAUGAUCACGAAGAUGGUUUUCCCAGGGCGAGGCUCACCCGUUGCACUCAGGAUAUGCUGACACCUGCGAUUUCCCCAAAUGUGGGAAACUCAACUGCAUAAUUUGUGGUAGAGGGGGACUGCGUUCGUGCUCUCCCCUG
Small nuclear RNA from Echinops telfairi (small Madagascar hedgehog), 164 nucleotides. Its record names the gene U1. It matches the Rfam family "U1 spliceosomal RNA". Rfam says of the family: U1 is a small nuclear RNA (snRNA) component of the spliceosome (involved in pre-mRNA splicing). Its 5' end forms complementary base pairs with the 5' splice junction, thus defining the 5' donor site of an intron. There are significant differences in sequence and secondary structure between metazoan and yeast U1 snRNAs, the latter being much longer (568 nucleotides as compared to 164 nucleotides in human). The record is from Ensembl. NCBI's taxonomy places the organism in Eukaryota, Metazoa, Chordata, Mammalia, Afrosoricida, Tenrecidae.